Molecule: long non-coding RNA, 357 nt
Filed under: Oryza brachyantha (malo sina)
Lineage: Eukaryota; Viridiplantae; Streptophyta; Magnoliopsida; Poales; Poaceae
Description: long non-coding RNA (OBRA_LNC000764)
Source: RNAcentral
GUACAUUAUCAAUGAUAUAUCCAAAUGGCCUCUUUCUCUCACACUGCUUGUGAUUCUACUAGCAAGCAUGUUUUUUUGUCAAUGAUAUAUCCAAAUGGCCUCCCCAGCCGGCCGCCACCCCUCGACCGCUGCCGCCGUCUUCCCGCCUCCUCGCUGGCGUGCUCACCUGCCCGACGCCACCAUCCCCAACCUCCACCCCGCCGGCCUUAUUAGGCUUGGCAACGGGAUGGGUCGGGGCCAGGGUGGAGAGGAGAGGAGACUGACCUAGGUUCUUGGCUGCCGGCGUGGGGAGAAGUCCUCGGCUUGGCUGUCGGCGUGUGGAGGCAGCGACAUCUGGGCUCCUGGCCAAUGGGUAGG